This 1348-nucleotide long non-coding RNA is filed under the name Homo sapiens (human). Its description in RNAcentral is "HSALNT0177111". The record is from RNAcentral. Lineage: Eukaryota; Metazoa; Chordata; Mammalia; Primates; Hominidae.
GUUUUAAUUGACUCAUUGUUCAUCAUGGCUAGGGAGGCCUCAGGAAACUUAGAAUCAUGGCAGAAGGGGAAGUAAACAGAUACUUCUUCACAUGGCAGCAGGAAGGGGAAGAAUGAGUGCCCAGUGAAGGGGGAAGCCCCUUAUAAAACCAUCAGAUCUCUUGAGAACUAAUUCACUAUCAGAAGAACAGGAUGAGGGAAACUGCCCCCAUGAUUGAAUUAUCUCCGCCUGGUCCCUCCCAUGACACAUGGGGAUUAUGGGAACUACACUUCAAGAUGAGAUUUGGAUGGUCACACAGCCAAACCAUAUCACAUGUCUACUUUGGAUAUCUUGUUUAUUCCAAAAAGAAACCCUCUGUCUGAGACACACUCCCUGCCCCCCUAUAAGAAGAGCCCAAGACUGAUUCUGACCCAAACUCAAGGGUUUGAGUGGAACCAGAACAUCCUAGGGAGUGCUGCCAGAUGAACAAUGACAUUUUAGGGACUGUUGAGCUUUCCUUUUGAAUGUGCCCUCUCUGUGUCUCCUAGACACUUCUUAAGGCCCCACCUUGUUUCUUAGGCUCCCCUAGAGCUUUCAAAUGCCCUAAAGAGGCUGACCCUAGGAACUUAAGUAGAAAAUAUCCUUGAGGUCCGCCUUUCCAAGCUGAUGCAAAAGGAAGUCCAUUUGAAGACUCCCUCCCCUGGGAAAGAACCAAGCAACUAUUAAGCUGUUUCCCAUCCAGACAGUAGGAAAGGGUUAACUGCUUCUCUCGGGUCCUGAGCAAAGUCUGUCCCAUACCAGUUCCCAUAACCGGGUUUCCUGAAAUGGAGCAGGUCCCAGGUGACUCUCCACUAAUCACAUCCUUGGAAAUGGGGCCAUGAGGCUCAGAUUAGCUCAUCCCUUCACCUUCUUGAGGCCUUCUCCACCUGGAGCACAGAAUCUGGGGCAGCUUCACCACUCACCUCCCUCUGCUUUCUUAUCAGGGGUCAGACAGGGAUGUUCUAGCAGAGGAAUAUUAUUGGGCUAAUGGGGGCAACUAGAGGCCAUAAUGGUGCUGACUUUUGUGCAAUUCUUGGACUACAGCAUCUGUUCUUCCCCUUUCUAAGACUUAGGGGAAAAGAGAGAUUCUUUUCCUGGGACAGUACCAAAGUUUAUAUAACUCGAGUAUUUCGUUCUUCACCCCCAUUCCCUGUUUUCUUCCUCUCCUUGAAUAACUGACUAUGAUACUGACUAACUUCCUGUUCUUCCUGGCCAAGUCACCCUUUGCACAAAGUCUGAUUUCUCAUCCACCAGUAGCAGGUGCUGGGCCAGCCCAGGAGAUUUCAUUCCUUUCCUAUUAUUGUCCAAUUUUUCCUCUGCCUAGAUAGCC